This 1172-nucleotide long non-coding RNA is filed under the name Equus asinus (donkey). Its description in RNAcentral is "lncRNA (ENSEASG00005034066.1)". Lineage: Eukaryota; Metazoa; Chordata; Mammalia; Perissodactyla; Equidae. The record is from RNAcentral.
GGGCGGCUGAGCCAAGAGGGACGUGGCGCUCUGCGACGCGGGCGGGGAAACCGCGCCCCUUCCUUUUCGAGCGUUGUGGAGCAAGAUUUGGGCGGGAUCCCACGGAACAAGAACUGGCAAGUUUUUCAUUGUGUUCAGAAGAGGGGAGAGGGAGACGGUAGUACUUACAAGAGACAAUUGCUUUGGCUGUUCAGGGUCUUUUGUGGUUACACAUGUGGACGAAACUGGGAGUCCUCUCUAUUGUCUAACAGGUGAAUUGAGCAAGCAAGCUGCAUAGGCUUAAAGUCAGUACAGAAAUCCAUGCUGUACUGUGAAGCAGCCAUGCAGGCCUCAUAAGCCUGUGUCUAAAUGACCUUGAAACCCCUCAUCUGAGGACUGAAGAUGCCAGCAGGAUGAAUCAGCAACAGGAAAGAGAAACUCUAGGAGGACUGGGAACCCAGGAUUGGUGGUUCUGUAGCCAGGAACAAAGCCCAAAAGCACACCCUAGAGCUGAGCUGGUGAAGACGCCACAGUGGCCACUAGGCCCAAACACUGUAGCUCGUGUCAGGGAUCCCCCAACCUGACACUGGAUGCCUGCCUCUGGAUCCACUGCCACUGCUACUCUGGGAACUGGAUGGAGCUGAGGGGACUGCAGCCGCCUUACUAGAAGAGAUUCCACACAGCCCCUGCUUCUUUACGUCUGUAACUUCACACCCACCAUCGUUUUCUGAGGAACCUGCCUCACCCAGCCCACUACUGAGGGAACGUGUGGGAGUCAAGCUAUUCUAUAAACAGAGGUGGCUACUGGUUGGACCAGCCAUGGGACCUGAUUCGAGAACCACAAACCCACAGACUGGCCUGUGAGAAUGAGAUUGCUCAGCCGUCAAAGCUCUGACCAAUCGGCAUAAUGAAAGCUAUUUGAAUCAAUUUGGCUCUACUUCUGAAAUCUGAAAUUUGAGAAAAUAUUGAAAGACUCACUGGUUGGCAGCAGGGGGAGAUAUGAGAAGACACACGAGGAGAAACAGAGAUAAGAGAGAUGAAAAACUCCCAUUAAUAAUGGGAUAAUAAAUGACAAGGGAUAGUGAAAUAACCUCAGCCCCAGGCUAGCCUUGCAUUCUGAAGGAUGGCUGCUCUGAGAUUUCUGUGAAAUUCUCUUUCCCUCAGUGCUACAUGUAUCCUGCUUGAGUGAUGAC